UCAGGAUGAACGCUGGCGGCGUGCUUAACACAUGCAAGUCGAACGGAGUUUUAACGGAAGUUUCGGAUGGAAGUUUAGAAACUUAGUGGCGGACGGGUGAGUAACGCGUGGGUAACCUGCCUCAUACAGGGGGAUAACAGUUAGAAAUGACUGCUAACACCGCAUAAUAUAGCGAAACCGCAUGAUUUUGCUAUCAAAUAUUUAUAGGUAUGAGAUGGGCCCGCGUCUGAUUAGCUAGUUGGUGGGGUAAAAGCCUACCAAGGCGACGAUCAGUAGCCGGCUUGAGAGAGUGACCGGCCACAUUGGGACUGAGACACGGCCCAAACUCCUACGGGAGGCAGCAGUGGGGAAUAUUGGACAAUGGGGGAAACCCUGAUCCAGCGACGCCCGCGUGAGUGAAGAAGUAUUUCGGUAUGUAAAGCUCUAUCAGCAGGGAAGAUAAUGACAGUACCUGACUAAGAAGCCCCGGCUAACUACGUGCCAGCAGCAGC
RNAcentral lists this ribosomal RNA (491 nucleotides) under uncultured bacterium. RNAcentral describes it as "bacterial SSU rRNA". It matches the Rfam family "Bacterial small subunit ribosomal RNA", at positions 24 to 518 of the family's 1533-position model. The record is from RNAcentral.